RNAcentral lists this long non-coding RNA (20542 nucleotides) under Nicotiana tabacum (common tobacco). RNAcentral describes it as "long non-coding RNA (NTAB_LNC002035)". Lineage: Eukaryota; Viridiplantae; Streptophyta; Magnoliopsida; Solanales; Solanaceae. The record is from RNAcentral.
GGUGUUGUUGUUCACAUAUUAAAAUACCAAGACUUCUCACUCUUACCAAUUAGAACUCCCUCCCGUCACUCUUCCACCCCAAAUUUAUUAAACCAUAUUUUAUGCAAUUUCUCUCUCUCCCUCCCACCAACUUAGAGCGAAUUAUCGGCGGUGUAUCGGCAGAUUGUUGUCAAGUUUCUCUUCUCUCCUCUCUUAUUCUUUCAUUCCCACUUCUCGCCAAGGCCCUCGAUUGGCCUGUGAGACGGUGGCGUUGAUUGCGAAGAAACUACCAAGCUUCUGUUGCCCGAUGAAGUCUGUUGGCAAGGAGUUCUUCCUCCCCCGUUGUGCUUUUAUGAUGUCAACUCCCAUCUCCAAACAAGGUUUAGCCAGGUCCUCUCUAUUUCUCUAUGUUUUGAUUACUUAUUCAUGUGGAUCUAAGGUUUCACUGUUGGUUCGCAUUUUCUCUGUCAAUAUAGUUGGUGGAUCUUUCGUUAACUUGCUUUUUUCUUCUUCAAAGAUUGUAUAUAUUUUCUGCUAGAAGGAAUGGUUUCAUUUGUGGUUAAAAAUUAGCUGACAAGCAAGAGAUAUGUAUAGAAUAAGAGGUUUUUUGGUCAUUACUACUAUAUGAUCUAAUGGAACUGUGAAAUUCACUUGUAUUGGUCGAAGGAUUGGAUUGUUCUUAUAGAAUUGACUAUAGUACAUGUGAAGUGAUAUUAUUCUGUUUUUCUUCCUAGGUGAUAAGAGAAUGACAUUUUUUAUAGAAAGAAAGAUGUGCUUGCCGCUUCUUCCUUUUUCCCCGGCUUCGCAAAUUAAUAAGGAUUUUGUUUCAAUUUUAAUUCCACUCAUAUUUUCUUGUGCUUUUACCGUUCCUUGCGUGGUUUUGGUACUUAGAAUUUGCACGAUUAGUUCUUAACUUUUUUUUUUCUAGUACUCUACUAUGAGAUACUGAAAGCUGAAGUGAGAAAUUGUCCUUUUAUGUUUGUCCAUAAGAUAUUUGAUAUUUAUUUUAAGUAAACCUCACCGACAUCUCUUGCUCAUGGAUGGUAGGUGAGAGCUGAAGAGCUUGAAUUAUCAUCGGCUAUUUGGAUAUGUCAACCUAAAAAAAAUAAGCAUUAACAAAAAAGAAAAAUAUUGACAAUGUGGAGUUGGAUAUGCGCAACACGCAAAUAGGUAUGCUGAUAAUGUAGCUACUUUAUGCUUUAGUUUGGUGUGCCGGAACGUGCUACGUUAUCUUGUGCACCGAGGAGGCUUAUUCUCUGACUUAUGACUUGAUGAUGUUAUUAUUGUAUUCUUUUGAGAAGUAUGAACUGUUCACGUAAUUAGCGAGUAUCAUUAAUAAUUCUUGCUUCUAUUACCUCGCCGAGGUUAGUUAAUACUUGGUAAGUACAUGGGGUCAGUUAUAUUAAUGCUACACUCUGCACUUAAUUUUGCAGAUCCAAGUGUUGGACCGACUCGUGGCUAGCUGUGAGUUGUUGUUGUAAGCAUCUUCCAAGGACGAGGUAGAGUUGCAUCUCGAUCGCAGCCUUUGGGUGUUUCUUGUCAUUUUAGUACUAUUCUUUACUUUCAUACAAUAUUUCAUUUUGUGUUCCAGAUGUGUACUUCAAUUUAGAGCUCAUGGCUCUAUAUUUAUCAGUUAUGGGGGAGGGUACUUAUCGAUGCAGUUCAUUUAUUUUGUUGGCUUUAGACUUAUGCUAUUUCCACUAUUUCUAUUAUUAUAUUCCGCUUGUGUUAUGUUGACCUGCCUAGCAAGUGAGUUAGGCAUCAUCAGUCCCACCAACUCAUCAUGAUCAGGGGGAUAUACUCAUCGUCUGGAGCUACUGGUGGCUCCCUACUUGCUGCUCUAGCAUGAUCUCUAGCUGUGGUACGUGCUCCUCUGCCUCUGCCCCGGCUUUCAUUGAACCGGCCUUGGGGGCAACACCAUCAGUCACUGUAGCACGUGUUCUCACCAUCUGUGAGAGAAUAGAAAAACAAAAUUCAAACUCCAAUAUAAAUAAAUCAGCACGAUAGAGAAUGAAAGAAAGCAAAAAUUUUCCUAACGGUUUGGUAGCCUCUCGAAAAUAAAUACAGACGUCUCUGUACUGAACCGCAAGACUCUACUAAACUUUCUCAUGACCCGUACAACCUAUGAAAAUAGGGUUCUGAUAUCAACUUGUCACGACCCAAAAACUACAAACCAGUCGUAAUGGUGCCUAACUCACUUUCUAGGCAACCCGAACAAAACAAAAUAGAACAAGAUAACAGAAUUAACGUAAAUAAUAUAAAUUCGAAGUCAAUGGACAUAAAUGACUACGUCAAUACAUAAAUCCCCCAGAACUAGUAAUACAGAGUCACGAGCUCUACAAUAGAAGUACAAGUCUUUAAAUACAAAUUAAAAUAUUGUAUGGAUAAUUAUAACAACUGAAAUGGAAUGAGAUGCCAAAGUCUGCAGUCAAAAUGCAGCUCUACCUCGUCUCUCGGCUACUCACAACAAAAAUCACAAUGACUUUCGGCUCGGUCCAAUACCUGCAUCUGCACAAUUAAGUGUAGAGUGUAGUAUGAGUAUAACUGACCCCAUGUAUUGAGCAAGUAUCAUAACUAACAUCGAUGAGAUAAUAGAGGCAAGAUUUAUUAAUGAUACUCGCUAAUAACAUGCUCAGUUCUUGAAUUUCACAAGUACACAACAAUAAUAUCAGCAAGGCAUAAAUCACAAAUGAGGUCAUCUCGGUGCCCAAAAGAUAAUGUGCCAUGUAUCAGUUAACAACCCAUCAUAUAGAGAAGAUAUGCGUAUAUGAUCAAGUCUCGUAUGCACAAGUAAACAAAUAGAGAAGAGAUGUACCGUUCUCCCACUAAUAAAACUAAACAGCAUAUAGAGAAUAUAUGCGAAUAAAUCAUGUAUACACCCAAGAAAAUUGCAAACUAAUAAGAGAUGCAAUAAAUCAUGUAUACAUCCAAGCAAAUUGCAAAUAGAGAAGAGAUGCAAUAACCAAAACAAAUGCUAAUAGGUUUUUCUCAUACCACGUGUACACCAUCAAGAAAGAAACAUGAGAGGGUGACCCUAGGGGGAUGGAUCCUUAUCCAUACGCUGUACGAAUAAUUCAUGUGCCAUAUAGAUAACCACCACAUGUGCUAACACAACUCAUAUCCGCACGGACUGCUCAUGUGCUAUGAAGCCAGUCCAUACCACACAGAAAGCAUAUAGAAGAAUACAUGUAUAUGAACAAUGGAUAUAAAGUUACAUACUCAAGGGCUAAUAUAAGUGACAUGCUAAGGUGUAGGCAUGUGUGAAGUGUACUUCCAUAGUUCAGACCAAGCGAUUACUCCACAAGAAUAGAAAGUAACAUUUUGAACAGGAUAUCAACCAACAGAUAAUCUCUAACAUGAUUCAAAUAGCUGAAAAAGGGGGUACAUCAUAAGAAGUAUGAUAACAUGAAGCUUAGCAAUCAAUUGAAGGCAUAUAGUAGCCUAAUCACUACCCCGAGCAUGGAUAAUACUCUGGUACACACACAUGGGCUCAAUCCCCUCACAUGUGCGCCACCCAUAAAGCAUAGCCAACACUAAUAACACAGGCAACUAGUGCCUCAACCAUGUUUAAGUAAUAUACUUACAUCAAGCAAUCCAAAUCAAUACUCUAGAAAUGCUUUCAUGUGUGAAUCAACCUCCAAACGGCUCGAAUCUAGCCAAAAACAACUCAAUGUUAUGAAAUAAGUCCGUAGGAAAUAAUUCCAAACAAUAAAGAUACGCUCUUAAAUAAAUAUACAAAUUCAACCUCGGGCCCGCACCCCGAAACCUGGAAAAACUCAAAAAUAUUAAACACUCAUUCCAAUACGAGUCCAACCAUACCAGUUUCAUCCAAAUUUGACUCUAAUCGGGAUUCAAAUCUUGAAUUUUCACUUAGAUAAGGUUUUACCAAAAUAUCCAAUUUUCCCUCUUAGAAUCACCAAUCAAAAGCCAAAAUUAAGUAGGGAAUCAUGAAUAAUAAUAAAAUCCGAGUCAAAAAUACUUACCCCAAUCCAAAUCGUGAAAAUCGCCUCAAACAUCGCCCAAAUCCGAACUCCAAAUCGCAUAAUAUAAUAAAAUGAGUAAAGGUCAACCUAAUUGUACACUCAGUGAUCGCGAAGUACAAAAUCUGAUGCCUUCCAAAAGACCAUAUGCUAAUGCGGCCCCAGGACUGUGAUCACAUUUCACCAGCAGCCAAGCCUACGUGAACGUGGGUCCCUUCCACGAACACGAAGGCAAAAUCAACUUGCCUACCCCAUCUGACUCACACGCUAUGCGAACGCAACCCCCUCUACGCGAACGCACCGCUACAGCUCCUAAAGGAUCGCAAUCGCGAAGAGAAAGCUCCACCUUCCACCCAAACACAGUAAACGAUCGCGUGAGACCUUCUGCGAUCGCGAUGAAGACACCAGCAUCAGAAAACCAACAAUUCCAAACAUGAGAGAAAUGGUCUGAAACCCAUCUGAAACACACCCGAGGCCAUUGGGACCUCGUCCAACCACACCAGCUAAUCUCAAAACAUAAUACUGACCUACUCGAGGCCUUAACUACACAAAAUAGCAUCAAAACCACAAACCGUCGAUCAAGAUCAAACUCUUAAGUUCAUAAACUUCAAAUCAGCUCCCGAUCAAACGUAUGAACCUUCUAAACCUUUAAAUUGCCAACUUACGCCAAAAAGAAUCAAAUCGACUUAGGAACUUCCAAAUCCAAAUUCAGACAUACGUCUAAGUCCAAAAUCACCAUGCAAACCUAUUGGAAAGCUCAAAAUACAAAUCCGAGACCAUCUACAUAAAAUUCAAACAUCGGUCAAUUCUUAUAACUUAAGCCUCCAAUAAUGAAAUCAAGUGUUCUAACUCCCUCCAAAACGUUCCCCAAACCAAACCAACCAACCCCGCAAAUUACGAAACAUAAAAUGAACAUAGAGAAGGUAAUAAAUAGGAGAAUGGGGCUCAAAUACCCAAAACGACCGAUCGGGUCGUUACAACACUUCAGCAGUUGUGUUGUCAUCAUUCUUCUGGCCACUACUUUUGCCUCGACUUUACUUUGGGAAAAUAUUUUUUAAAGUGAUCGAGUUGACCGUAACUGUAGUACUUUUUACAUUUUGACCGAUUUCUGGACUUUCUAUGACCUUUCGAUUUAUCACGGGUACUCGAAGCUUUAUGAAGACUUCUUCCAUUGUUUUCCAUGAUAAGAGCACAUCCCUGGUUUUUAGGAUUCUUCCUUAUCUUAUCAUUGAGUAGGAUGGUUGAUGCGACCUCCUUUAAUUCGAUGGUAUCUCUACCAUGUAAGAUGGUUGUUGCCAAGUUAUCAUAGGAAGAUGCCAACUUAUAGAGAAGGUAUUCAAAACAAGGAAUGUAUACAUUCCUGCUCUAGCAUAUAAAUAAGAUAUGCAAUUAAAAAUUGUAUACAACCAUGGAAAUGGCAAGUAUAGAAGAAAUGCAAUAACCAAAUCAAACACUAACCAGUUUUUCUCAUACCGCGUGUACACCAUCAAGAGAGAAACAUGAGAGGAUGACCCUAGGAGGGUGGAUCUUUAUCCCCACACUGCAUAGAAAACUCACGUGCUAUAAUAUCAACCGCACGACGAAUUCACUUGUUAAUAAUCACAACCGCAUGGCAUAAUCACGUGCCAAUAAUCAAAACCGCACGACAUAUUCAUGUUCCAAUAAUCACAACCGCAUGGCGUAUUCACAUGCCAAUAAUCACAAUCGCAUGACGUAUUUAGGUUCCAAUAAUCACAAUCGCAUGGACAAUUCACAUGCCACCAGUCCAAUCCAUAUCACACAGAAGGAAGAUAUACAAGAUUACUUGUACAUAAACAAUGGAUAUCGAUUUUCAUACUCCUGGACUGGUAUAAGUGACAUGCUAAAGUGUAUGUAUGUGCAAAGUGUGCUAUCGUAGCUCAAACCAGGUAAUUACAUCACAGAAGUAACAAUUAUCGAGUUCAAUCAGGAGACUAACCUCUAUGUAACCUCAAACAUGGUUCAAAUAGCUCACAAAGGGGGUACACAUACAAGAUACAUCACAAAAUGAAGCUUAGUAAUCGAUUAAAGGCAUAUCAUAGCCUAAGCACUAGCCCGAGCAUGAAUCCCCGGUGCACACACGCGGGCUCACCCCCACACAUGUGCGCUACCCAUAACACGUAGCUAUCACAAAUAACUCAGACAACUAAUGCCUCAAACCAAGUUUAGGCAAGACACUUACCUCAAGCAAGAAAAAUCAAUACUCUAGGAACGCCUUGCCAUGCGUAUCAACCUCCAGACGACUGGAAUCUUGCCAAAAAUAACCCACUAUUAUCAAAUAAGUCUAUUGGAAACCAUUCCAAACAACAAAGAUGCAAUAUCUAACAAAUAAGCAAAGUCAAUCCAAAAUGUCAACCCGGACCCGCACCUAGGAACCCAUCAAAAGUCACAAAUCCUAAACAUACAUUCCACUACGAGUCCAACCAUACAUGUUUCAUAUAAAUCCAGCUUCAAAUUUCGAAUUAUCACUUAAGAAAGUUUUUAGUAAAAUCCCCAAUUUUUCUCCCAUAGAUUCAUCAAUCAAAACCCAAAAACAAUGAUGGAAUCAUGAAUAAUAACCAAAUCCGAGUAGAAAAUACUUACCCCAAUCCAAAUCGUGAAAAUCGCCUCUAAAAUUGCCUAAAUCCGAGCUCCCGAUCUCAAAAUAUGAUAAAUUGGCCAAACCCUCGAAAAAAUAUAGCCUGCCCAACAAUUCUUGCAUUUGCGGCCCCUGGCUCCUCUAGCCCAGCUCCGCUUCUGCGGCUCCAAGCCCGCUUCUGCGGACUCGCAUCAAUAACCAAAAUCCUGCAGAUGGAAAAACACUAGAACUCAGCAAUCUUCAGAAAUGCCAACUUAAUCCAAAAUGAUCCGAAAUCAACCCGAAUCACACCUGAGGCGCCAGGGACUCCGACCAAUCAUACCAACUAAUCCUAAAAUAUAACAAGGACCUACUUGAGGCCUCAAAUCAAACAAAAUAACAUCAAAACCACGAAUUGCACGUCAAUUCAAGACUAAGGAACUAAUGAACUUCCAACUUCCUAAACUCAUGUCGAACCUCAUCAAAUCAACUCGGAAUGACAUCAAAUUUUGCAUACAAGUCCCAAAUGACAAACGAAUCUAUUCCAACUCCCAAAAUCACAAUCCGACUUCGAUAUCUUCAAAGUCAACUCCAAAUCAAAUCUAUAAACCUUUUAAACCUUCAAAUUCCUAACUUUUGCCAAAAUGAGCCAAAAUCACCUAGGAACCUCCAAAUCUAAAUCUGGACAUAUUCAUAAGUCCAAAAUCACUAUAUGAACCUAUAAGAACCAUCGAAAUACCAUUCCGAGGUUGUUUACACAAAAAUCAAACCUCGAUCAACUCUUAAAACUUAAGCUUCCAAGAAUGAAACAAGUGUACCAACUCCCUCCAAAACCUUCCCGGAAACAAACCAACCAACCCCGCAAGUCACAAAAUAUUAAAUGAACACAGACAAGAUAAAUAACAGGGGAUCAGGGCUCAAAUACUCCAAACAACCGACUGUGUCAUUAUAUUCUCCCCCUCUUGAACAAACGUUCAUCCUCGAACGAGUAUAGAAACAUACUUGAUGUAACAAACAGUUAUGGAUAUUUUCUCCUCAUGUCGGACUCGACCUCCCAGGUUGGAUCCUCAACCCUUUGCCCUAUCCACUAGACCUUCACCGAAGCUAUCACCUUGGACCUCAACUGUCGAACCUACCGAUCUAGAAUCGCUACUGGCUCAACCUCAUAACUUAGGUCCUCAUCCAACUAAACUGAACUGAAGUCUAACACAUAGGAAUUAUCUGCAUGAUAACGCUGAAGCAUAGAUACAUAAAUCACCGGAUGAACUGAUGACAACCUCGGUGGCAAUGCAUGUCUAUAUGCCACUUACCGACUCUCUCAUUAAUCUCAAAAUGGACCAAUAAACCACGGGCUCAACUUGACCCACUUGCCGAACAUCAUCACACCUUUCAUAGGUGAUAUAUUUAGCAGAACCUUCUCACCCACCAUAAAAUCAAGAUCACGAACCAUCCGAUCCGCAUAACUCUUUUGCCUGCUCUGAGCUAUGCGAAGGCUCUCCUGAAUCAACUAAACUCUCUCCAGAGCAUCACGAACCAAGUAAGUGCCACACAACCUAGCCUCCCCAAGCUCAGACCAAUCGAUUGGAGAACGACAUCACCUACCAUAUAAGGCCUCAUACAGCGCCAUCUAAAUACUCGACUGGUAGUUGUUGUUGUAGGCGAACUCUGCUAAUGGUAGAAUUUGGUCCCACUGACCUCCGAAAUCAAUAGUAUAUGCCCUUAACAUAUCCUCUAAAAUCUGAAUGGUGCGCUCGGACUGCCCGUCUGUCCGAGGAUGAAAUUAUGUACUCAACUCAACCUGGGCACCCAACGCAUGCUGCACUGCUCUCCAGAAAUGUGAAGUAAACUGAGUGCCACUAUCCUAGAUAAGAGAAACAGGUACACCAUGUAGACGAACAAUCACCCAGAUGUAGAUCUAAGCCAACCUCUCUAAAGUGUAAGAAGUCAUAACUGGAAUGAAAUGCGGCGAUUUGGUCAACCGAUCCUGUCACGACCCGAAAUUUUCCACCGACGGGACCGUGAUGGCGCCUAACAUUUUACUUGCUAGGCAAGCCAACGUUAGAGAAUCAUUAAACAAAUUCCUUAUUCUCAUUCAGUAAUUAACAAUAAUUAACUAAGAUAAAAUAUAAUAAGUGCGAAAUAUCAUAAAACCAUAUUAAUUACUACCACCCGUAUCUGGAGUCACAAUUCACGAGCAUUCUAGAAUUUAUUAUAAGUAAUAGUCUGAAAGAAAUACAAUAGUCUGAAUGAAAGAAAAAGUAGAACAGAAAAGAUAGACAGGGACUUCAAGGUCUGUGAACGCCGACAGAUCUACCUUGAGUCUCCGAACAACGGACCAAUAGCAAAAUCUCAAUCAACCCGAGUAGAUAUCAAAAUCUGCACAGAAAGUGCAGAGUGCAGUAUCAGUACAACCGACCCCAUGUACUGGUAAGUGUCGAGCCUAAUCUCGAGAAGUAGUGACGAGGCCAAGGCAAGGCACCUACAAAUCAACCUGUACAAUUUAACAGUGUAUAUACAAAUAACAGAAAUGAAGAACUAGACAGGGAAUGUCGGGAGGGGAACAUACUGAGGGGAAUACUAGAUAAAGAACUACAAUAGAAUGAUCACCGGAGCAGCCAAUAUACCAUGAAUCAACAGGAAUAGUGAAUAUAGUAAGGAAAAAUGCACGACAUCACCCUUCGUGCUUUUACUCUCAAUCUCACCAUAAAAUUAAUAGAAACGGCACGGCAUCACCCUUCGUGCAUUAACUCUCAUAUCAUGGCACGACAUCACCCUUCAUGCUUUUACACUCACCAUAUGGCACAACAUCACCCUUCGUGCAUUAACACUCACAAUAUGGCACGACAUUACCCUUCGUCCAUUAACUCUCAUAUCAUGGCACGACAUCAACCUUCGUGCAUUAACUCUCAUAUCAUGGCACGACAUCACCCUUCAUGCAUUAACACCCUCCCUUACCAUAAUGCAAUAUAUAAAUAACAACAGGGAGAUAGAAUAACAAGUACAAACCUUACUUCAACAUUUGGUUCCACAAUAUAGAUCUCAACUUUUAAAUAAAUACUCGAUUACCAACAGAAAAUCCGUAAACAUGAUAAUGACGAUCAAUUUAACAACAAUAGUAAAAACAUGUAGCAAUUAGGCAUAGGAAGAGACAAUGUAAGAAAACGGAAGAAACAUGGAAAAAUAGGUAAANNNNNNNNNNNNNNNNNNNNNNNNNUUGGGGUUUGGAAUACGACCUCAAAUUAAGGCCCCGAGCCCGAAUAUAUAAAUGGUUUUGGAAUCCGACCUCAAAUUAAGGUAAAUCCCCAAAUUACCGAAAUUCCUAGUUUCUACCCUAACCCCUAAUUCUACCAUGAAAUCUCUAGAUUUUAGGUUGAUAAUUCGAGAAAUGUAAUGGGUAAUUGAAAGAAAAUGGUAUAGAAUCAGUUACCUAUACUUUGGGAAAGAAAAUGACUCCUGAAAAUCGCCUCUACCCGUUUGGUUCUUGAAAAAUGUUGAAGAAAUGGCUUAAACCCGUGUUUGAUUCUGUUUUAUGCACUGGGCGACAGUAUGUAUCGCGUUUGCGAGGCCACUGUCACAUUCGUGAAGGGUACUGUCUGCCAAGUCUUUGCGUUCGCGAGACCUUGCUCAUGUUCGGGAUGGUUACUCCCCCUGGCCUUCGCGUUCGCGAUGAAGGAACGACCAACCCUCCCCCAGAUCCCCAAGUACUUAGCGUUCGCGAUGAGCCGGUCGCGUUCACGUUCGCGAAAGGUAAAUCCCCCAUCACUUUGCGUUCGCGACCAGGCCUUCGCGUUCACGAAGAAGAAGUCUCAGCCUCACCAGUUUACUCUCUGCGUUCGCAAGAGGACCUUCGCGAACGCGAAUAAGGAUAUGCUAGACACCAGAAUCUACAGAAAACCAGAUUUAAUUUUUCAAGUCCAAAACAUCCCGUGGCCUAUCCGAAACUCACCUGAGCCCUCGGGGCUCCAAACCAAACAUGCACACAAGUCCAAAACCAUCAUAUAGACCUGCUCGCGCGAUCAAAUCGCCAAAAUAAGACAUAGAACUCCUAAUUUAUCACCAAAUCAAAUGAAAUUCUCAAGAACACUUUAAAAUUUCUAUUUUCUCAUUUGGGCGUCCGAAUCACGUCAAAUCAACUCUGUUUCUCACCAAAUUUCACAAACAAAUCUUAAAUAUCAUAAUGAACCUAUAUCGGGCUCCGGAACCAAAAUACGGACUCGAUACUAACAAUGCCAAAUAUCAAUCAUUUCUAAAAAACAAAUAAUUUUCAGACUUUUAGCUUUUUUCAAAAAUUCAUAACUCAAGCUAGGGACCUCCGAAUUCGAUUCUGGACAUACGCUCAGGUCCCAAAAUUCGAUACGGAUCCACCGGGACCGUCAAAAUACAAAUCCGGGCCUGUUUACCAAAAAUGUUGACCAAAGUCAUCUAAAAUUAACUUUUAAGGCAUAAAUUCUUAUUUUCAUCAAUUUUCAACAUAAAAGCUUUCCGAAAACAUGCCCGGACUGUGCACGCAAAUCGAUGAGGAUACAAGUGAGAUUUUUAAGGCUUAAGAGCGCACAUUCGAGUUUUAAAACAUAAGAUGAUAUUUUGGGUCAUCACAUUCUCCACCUCUAAAACAAUCGUUCGUCCUCUUUCCGAACCUCGUUACACCCUUCAUGGGUGAUACCCGAAGUAACACUCUCUCUCCGACCAUGAAUGCAACAUCACAAACUCUACGAUUGGCANNNNNNNNNNNNNNNNNNNNNNNNNNNNNNNNNNNNNNNNNNNNNNNNNNNNNNNNNNNNNNNNNNNNNNNNNNNNNNNNNNNNNNNNNNNNNNNNNNNNNNNNNNNNNNNNNNNNNNNNNNNNNNNNNNNNNNNNNNNNNNNNNNNNNNNNNNNNNNNNNNNNNNNNNNNNNNNNNNNNNNNNNNNNNNNNNNNNNNNNNNNNNNNNNNNNNNNNNNNNNNNNNNNNNNNNNNNNNNNNNNNNNNNNNNNNNNNNNNNNNNNNNNNNNNNNNNNNNNNNNNNNNNNNNNNNNNNNNNNNNNNNNNNNNNNNNNNNNNNNNNNNNNNNNNNNNNNNNNNNNNNNNNNNNNNNNNNNNNNNNNNNNNNNNNNNNNNNNNNNNNNNNNNNNNNNNNNNNNNNNNNNNNNNNNNNNNNNNNNNNNNNNNNNNNNNNNNNNNNNNNNNNNNNNNNNNNNNNNNNNNNNNNNNNNNNNNNNNNNNNNNNNNNNNNNNNNNNNNNNNNNNNNNNNNNNNNNNNNNNNNNNNNNNNNNNNNNNNNNNNNNNNNNNNNNNNNNNNNNNNNNNNNNNNNNNNNNNNNNNNNNNNNNNNNNNNNNNNNNNNNNNNNNNNNNNNNNNNNNNNNNNNNNNNNNNNNNNNNNNNNNNNNNNNNNNNNNNNNNNNNNNNNNNNNNNNNNNNNNNNNNNNNNNNNNNNNNNNNNNNNNNNNNNNNNNNNNNNNNNNNNNNNNNNNNNNNNNNNNAUCGAGCCUCUCCCCACUCGAACCACCCAACUGGCGACCGGCACCGCCUAUCAUAUAAUGCCUCAAAAGGAGCCAUCUGAAUGCUCGAUUGGUAGCUGUUGUUGUAGGCGAACUCUGCAAGGGGCAAGAACUGAUCCCACGAUCCUCCGAAGUCUAUAACACAAGCGCAGAGCAUAUCCUCCAAGAUCUGAAUAGUACGCUCGAACUGCCUGUCUAAAUGAAAGAAACAGUUAACAUAAAAGAUAGAAGAGGACUUCAAGGUCUGUGAACGCCGACAGAUCUACCUUGAGUCUCCGAACAACGGACCAAUAGCAAAAUCUCGAUCAACCCGAGUCGGUAUCAAAAUUUGCACAGAAAGUGCAGAGUGCAGUAUCAGUACAACCGACCCCAUGUACUGGUAAGUGUCGAGCCUAAUCUCGAGAAGUAGUGACGAGGCCAAGGCAAGGCACCUACAAAUCAACCUGUACAAUUUAACAGUGUAUAUACAAAUAAUAGAAAUGAAGAACUAGACAGGGAAUGUCGGGAGGGGAACAUACUGAGGGGAAUACAAGAUAAAGAACUACAAUAGAAUGAUCACCGGAGCAGCCAAUAUACCAUGAAUCAACAGGAAUAGUGAAUACAGUAAGGAAAAAUGCACGACAUCACCCUUCGUGCUUUUACUCUCAAUCUCACCAUAAAAUUAAUAGAAACGGCACGGCAUCACCCUUCGUGCAUUAACUCUCAUAUCAUGGCACGACAUCACCCUUCAUGCUUUUACACUCACUAUAUGGCACAACAUCACCCUUCAUGCUUUUACACUCACAAUAUGGCACGACAUUACCCUUCGUGCAUUAACACUCACAAUAUGGCACGACAUCACCCUUCGUAUAUUAACUCUCAUAUCAUGGCACGGAAUUACCCUUUGUGCAUUAACACUCUCCCUUACCAUAAUGAAAUGCAUAAAUAACAACAGGGAGAUUAAAUAAAAAGUACAAACCUUACUUCAAUAUUUGGUUCCACAAUAUAAAUCUCAACUUUUAAAUAAAUACUAUAUUACCAACAAAAAAUCCGUAAACAUGAUAAUGACGAUCAAUUUAACAACAUUAGUAUAAAUAUGUAGCAAUUAGGCAUAGGAAGAGACAAUAUAAGAAAACAGAAGAAACAUGGAAAAAUAGGUAAAUUGGCGACGCAUAAGUACUCGUCACCUCACAUAUACGCCGCUCACAUGAAUUUCACUUAGCAAAUAAUCUAAGGUUCCUAAUUCCCUCAAAUCAGGGUUAGACACAAUACUUACCUCGUUCCGAAGGCCACUUAAUUUUCAAUCACAGCUUUUCCUUUGGAAUUCCCCUCCAAACCACUUGUUUCUAUUCAAAAAUGACUCAAUAAUAUCAAAUAUUGCUCAAGGAAUCAAUUAUAUUGCAUAAAUUAAAUUUCCCAAAUUUUCCUCCAAAAAGUCGAAAAAUCGACCCCCUGAGCCCGAAUAUAUAAUUGGUUUUGGAAUCCGACCUCAAAUUGAGGUCUAAAUCCCCAAAUUUACGAAAUUCCUAGUUUCUACCCUAACCCCUAAUUCUACCAUGAAAACUCUUUAUUUUAGGUAGAUAAUUCAAGAAAUGUAAUGUGUAAUUGAAAGAAAAUGGUUUAGAAUCACUUACCAACACUUUGGGAAAGAAAAUGACUCCUGAAAAUCGCUUCAACCCGUUUGGUUCUUGAAAAAUGUUGAAGAAAUGGCUUAAACCCAUGUUUGAUUCUGUUUUAUGAAGUGAGAGACAGUGUGCAUCGCAUUUGCGAGGUCACUGUCGCGCUUGCAAAGGGUACUGGAUGCCAAGCCUUCGCGUUCGCGAGACCCUACUAGCGUUAGCGAUGGUUACUCCCCUGACCUUCGUUUUCGUGAGGCGUUGCUCGCGUUUGCAAUGAAGGAACGACCAACCCUCCCCUAGGUCCCCAAGUGCUUUGCAUUCGCGAUGAGCCGGUCGCGUUCGUGAAUGGUAAAUCCCCUAUCAUUUCGCUUUCAAGACCAGGCCUUCGCGUUCGCGUAGAAGAAGUCUCAGCCUCACCAGUUUACUCUUUGCAUUCGCGAGAGGACCUUCGCAAACGCGAAGAAGGAUAUGCAAGACACCAUAAUCUGAAGAAAACCAGAUUUUGUUUCCCAGUCCAAAACAUCCCAUGGCCUAUCCGAAACUCACCCGAGCCCUCGGGGCUCCAAAUCAAUCAUGCACACAAGUCUAAAAACAUCAUACGGACCUGCUCGCGCGAUCAAAUCACCAAAAUAACACCUAGAACUCCGAAUGUAGCACCAAAUCAAAUGAAAUUCUCAAGAACACUUUAAAAUUUCUAUUUUCUCAACUGGACGUCCGAAUCACGUCAAAUCAACUCCGUUUCUCACUAAAUUUCACAGACAAAUCUUAAAUAUCAUAAUGAACUUGUACCGGGCUCCGAAACCAAAAUACGGACCUGAUACUAAUAAUGCCAAACAUCAAUUAAUUCUUAAAAAUAAAUAAUUUUCAGACUUUUAAUAUUUUUCAAAAAUUUAUAACUCAAGCUAGGGACCUCCGAAUUCAAUUCCGGGCAUAUACCCAGGCCCCAUAAUUCGAUACGGACCCACCGGGACCAUCAAAAUACAGAUCCGGGCCUGUUUACAAAAAAUGUUGACCGAAGAAACUAAAAUCAACUUUUAAGGCAUAAAUUUUUAUUUUCAUCAAUUUUCAACAUAAAAGCUUUCUGAAAAUAUGCCCGGACUGCGCACGCAAAUCGAUAAGGGUAAAAGUGAUAUUUUUAAGGCUUAAGAGCGCAAAUUCGAGUUCUAAAACAUAAGAUGACCUUUUGGGUCAUCACAGAUCCAUAAUGACCCAAAUGACAUCAAACUUCCUUAAAGUCCGAGGCAAUUCCACUACGAAAUCCAUAGUAAUCCUCUCUCACUUCUACUUUGUAAUAGUCAACCUCUGAGUCAAUCCACCAGGAUUCUAGUGCUUGUACUUAGCCUGAUGGAAAUUCAAACAUCUAGAAACAUGGCCCAUAAUAUCUUUCAUCAUCCGCCGCCACCAAAAAUACUGCCUCAGAUCAUGGUACGUCUUUGCCACUCCUGGGUUAAUAGAAUAUCUAGAACUGUGAGCCUCCUCAAUAAUCAACUCUCUACCCAUCAACAUUCAGAACACAAAACUGACCCUACAACCUCAAUAGACCAUCAUCACCUAUGUCUACCUUUGUGGUGCCUCCCCACUGAACUGAAUUCAUCAAAAUGAGCAAAUAGGGAUCAUUAAACUUUCUAGCCUUAAUGCGCUCGAGUAAACAAGACUGUGCCAUCAUUGAAGUAAGAACCCUACUGGAAUCAGAAAUAUCCAAUCUCAUAAAUAUGUUGGCUAAAUCCUGAACAUCUAUGGCUAACGGCCUCUGCUCAACUUGAAUGAAAGUUAAGUGCCUAUACGCACUAUAUUUCUAGUCAAGGCAUCUACUAUUACAUUAGCCUUCCCCAGGUGGUACAAGAUAGUAAUAUCAUAAUCCUUCAGUAACUCUAACCUCCUCCACUGCCUCAAAUUUAAAUCCUUCUGUUUAAUCAAGUGCUGGAGACUGCGAUUAUCAGUAUACACUUCGCAAGAUAUGCCAUAUAGCCUUCAAUCUUCAAAGCAUGGACAAUGGCUACCAACUCUAAAUCAUGAACCAGAUAAUUCUUCUCAGGAACCUUCAACUGGCGUGAAGCAUAAGCAAUCACUCUACCAUCCUGCAUAAGCACACAUCCAAGAUUAAUGCGUGAAGCAUCACAACAUAUAAUGUAGGAUCCCGACUUUGUAGGUAAUACCAAAAUUGGAGUUAUAGUCAAUGUUGUCUUGAGCUUCUGAUAAAUCUCCCCACACUCCUCGGACCACCUGAAAAUAGCACCCUUCUAGGUUAACCUGCUCAAUAGGGCUGCUAUUGAUGAAAACCCCUCCACAAAACGACUAUGGUAACCUGCCAAACUAAGAAAAUCUAAAUCUUAGUCGUUGAAGUAGGUCUAGGCUAGCUCUGAACUACCUCAAUUGUUUUUGGAUCCACUGCAGAUCCUUUAACUAGACACCACGUGGCCCAAGAAUGCCACAGAUCCAACCAAAACUCACAGUUAGAGAAUUUAGCAUACAACUGUUUCUCCCUCAGAAUCUGAACCAUAAUCCUUAAAUGUUGCCCGUGUUCCUCCCUACACGGAGAAUAUAUCAAGAUAUCAUCAUUGAAUACAAUAAUAAAAGAAUCCAGGUAAGGCUGAAGCACUCUACUCAUCAAAUAUUGGGGGUAUUAGUCAACCCAAAAGACAUCACCAAAAAUUCAUAGUACCCAUACCGAGUACUGAAAGUCGUCUUAGGAAUAUUUGAAGCCCGAAUCAUCAACUAGUGAUACCCUGAUCUCAAGUCAAUUUUUAAGAACACUCUGGCACCCUGAAUUUUAUCAAACAAAUCAUCAAUACGAGGCAAGGGAUACAUAUUCUUGAUGGUAACCUUGUUCAACGGCCCGUAGUCAAUGCACAUCCUCAUAAAACUAUCCUUCUUCUUCCUAAACAAUAUUGGUGCACCCCAAGGUAACAUAUUAGGGCUGAUGAAGCCGUUAUCAAGCAACCCCUCCAAUUGCUCCUUCAAUUCCUUUAACCCAGUUGGAUCCAUACGAUACAGAGGAAUAGAAAUAGGUUGCAUUCCUGGUGCCAAAUAAAUGCCAAAUUCAAUAUUCCUAUCGUGUGGCAUGCUCGGUAGGCCUGUAGGAAAUACAUCUGGGAACUCUCUCACUAUAGGAACUGACUCGACAAUAGGAGUAUCAUCAAUAACAUCUUGAACAAAGGCCAAAUAUUCCAAAAGACACUUCUCAACCAUUCGUUGAGCCUUCAAGUAUAAAAUCACUCUGCUAGGAGUGUAACCAAGGAACCUCUCCACUCCAACCCCGGCAAACUCGGCAACCCCGACAUAGAUAAUCUCACAAUCUUAGCGUGACAAUCAAGAAUAACAUGAUGCGUACAUAACCAAUCUAUACCCAAGAUCACAUCAAAAUCUACCAUAUCUAACAUCAAAAACUCUGCCCUCAUCUCAAAACCAGAAAUAGUCACCACAUAGGAUCGAUAAAUUUGAUUCACCACAAUAGAGUCACCAACAAGUGUAGAUACAUGAACAGGAAUAUCAAGUGAAGCAAAUGGUAUAUACAAACAGGAAUAAAUAUGUGAAGGAAUAUAGUAAUAUGUAGAACCAGGAUCAAAUAGAACUAAUUCCUCUCAGUAACAAAUGGAAACAAUACCUAUGAUCAUUGCAUCUCAAGUGACUGCCUCUGGCCUACCCAAAAAUGCAUAGCAACGGGCUUGUCCUCCACCGGACCAACCUCCCCCUGUAGGGCGACAUCGAACAGACUGAGCCCCACCCCUAGAUGGUUGUGCGGGUGGUGUAGCUAGCUAUACUGAAACUAUAGAUUGCAUGCUCUACUCUGGGACUCUACUCAGAAGUUUGGGGCAAUCCUUUUUGACAUGACUCAAGUCUCCACACUUGAAGCAACCUUUUCUACGAGGAUGCUGACCCUAAUAACCCAAAUAACUGCAUGUUGAACCCUGAGCAGAUGGAGCAUGGUAAGAACUCUAUGUCGGCAGUGCCCUAAGUAAAGACUCAACUAGGCGAGCACUACAUUAAAUGUGGCUCACUGAUGAACCACAAGGAUUCUAACGAGCCAAACCCCAAUUUCUAUACUUCAAAUCCUUUAUCCAAAGGAAACAAAUGUUUAAAUCAAGUAGUGUAUUGUAGAUCUAUAGUAAGAUGAUGUGCCCAAACUAUUUUGAUGAAUUCUCCUUAAAACAUAUACCAAAUAGGAGUUGUGUAGCUCUCAAAAUAACCAAAUAAGAGAAAAUCACGAAUGGGGGUAGGGGUAGUACCAAAAGUCCAAGCAAUACAUAGCUGAAGGAACCGGCGUCGUGCGCCAGGGCAUCUUCGCCCUAUGCCUUGCCUCGCGCCAAGGCAAGGGCGUCUUAGGUCUCGCCUCUUUCCCUCCAGUCUACCGAAGGCCUCGCACCAUAGGCCGCCUCAUGCAAUUCUGUAGCCUAGUGCUGGUGCUGCUAGCCUACAUACAGUAGAUGAAAUACAGAAGACAUGGUAAAUUUACGUCUAACAACAAGAUAAUAGAAAGUAAAAUCAUUUCAAAAGUAAACAAGAUAAGUCUAAAACUAAUAACUACGUGAUCCAUCCCAAGAUGUGGUAUUACAAAGUACACAAGCUUCUAGAAUUUUCUAUAUACACCAUUCUGAAAGAAAAUACAACAUUGUUCGUGAAAGGAAAAAUGUACAACAGAAAUAGAAAAGUGACUAAGGCCUGCAAACAAGAUGCAGCUCUACCUUGAAUCACCGUUUUGUAUUGACUCGACCGGUUGUUUUGUAUAAUAUAUCCUUGUUCCCCUAUUUAUUUCUUUUUUAUGUUCAUUUAUGGUUAUGUGACUUUUCGGGGUGGUUGGAUUGGUUUCAGGAAGGUGUUGGAGUGAAUUGGGACACUUAGUCCCAAGUUUGGAAGCCUAAGUUGAAAGAGUUGACCGGAGUUUGACUUUUCUAUAGACAACUCCAUAAUGGAGUUUUGAUAGUUCCAAUAUCUUCUUAUAGUGAUUUUAGACUUAAAUGUAUGUCCGUAUUUAGAUUUGGAGCUCCGUAGGUUGGUUUGAUGCUUUUUGGCGAAAGUAGGAAAGUUGAAGGUAUGGAAGGCUGAGAGGUUUGACCAGGAGUUGACUUUAAUGAUAUCGAGUUCGGAUUUUGGUUCCGAGAUUUAGAAUAAGUCUGUUGUGUCAUUUGGACUUGCAUGCAAAAUUUGAGGUCAUUCAGAGUUAAUUUGAUAUGGUUCGACAUGAGUUUUGAAAGUUGAAAUUUCAUUAGUUCAUCAGGCUUCAAUUGGAUGUGAUUCGUUGUUUUGAUGUUAUUUGUGUGUUUUGGGGCCUUGAGUAGGUUUGUGUUGUGUUUUGGCAUUGGUUGGUGUGAUUGGAUGGGGUCCCGGGGGCCUCGGGUGUGUUUCAGACCAUUUCCAUCAUGUUUGGACUGUUGAUUUGAUGUUUGGUGUGUUCUUCAUCGCGAUCGUCACAUAGUGGCCGCGUUCGCGGAGACUUUUUGGUUGGCAGGUGAAGUGAUCUUCGCAUUUGCGAGUUUGGAAAUGCAUUCACGAUGCUUUGGAAGGCAGUGACCAUCGUGAAUGCAUGAGAGAUGACACAUUCACGUAUAAGGGAGGCUGGCAGGGGCAUCAGGCCUUAAGCCUCCAGUUUCGCGGGAGAGUUCACGCGUUCGCGUAGGCAUGGGGUCGUUUGGUCAUCACAUUCGCGACAAGGAUGUCGGGAUCGUAAAAGAGGUUUAGUAGCUGCUGAAUUUUGUUCUUCGCGAUCGCAAAGGCAUUUCUGCGAUCUCGAAGAGUACCCCUAGGCAGACGUAUAUAUAUAAUACUCUAUUUGGAGGGCUUUUGUUGUUUUACCACAUUUUGAGUUAGAGAGCUCGAAUUUGGGUUAUUUUGGAGAUGAUUUUCAUGAUUUGGAUUAGGGUAAGUGUUUUUGACUCGGAUUUGUUAUUAUUUCAUAAUUCCAACCUCAAUUUUAGUGUUUGAUUAGUGAAUUGAAUUGCAGAAAUUGGAGAUUUUUGUAAAAACUUUUCUAAAAUAUAAAUUGAAGAUUUGAAGGUCGAUUUGAGAUCAGAAUUGGAUGAUUUUAGUAUUGUUGGACCCAUAUCGGAAUGGGUGUCCGAAAUUUGUAAGUUUGGUUGGGUUCUGAGGCGCGAGCUCGGGAUUGACGUUUUGGGUUGACUCUUUGAUUUUGGUUAAAGAUCUUAGCUUUAUCAAUUGGAUUUGUUUCCUAUGGCUUUAUUUGGUGAUAUUAAGUUUUUUUGACUAGAUUCGGAUCAUCUAGAGGUUGAUUCAUGAAAGAAGGGCUUCUUAGAGUACUGAUUUGGCUUGCUUGAGGUAAAUAUCUUACCUAAACUUAGUUGAGGCACUAGUUGCCUGAAUUAUUUAUGAUAGCUACAUGCUAUGGGUAGAGCACAUGUGCAGGGCUGAGCCUAUGUGCUUGCACCGGAGUAUUUAUCCAUGCUUGGGGUAGUGCUUAGGAUAUGAAAUGCCUUGAAUUGAUUGUUAAGCUUAUGUUGUGGUAUUUCUUAUAUUUGUACCUCGUUCUGAGCUAAUUGAGCCAUAUUUGUGGUUACGCAUAGAUUAAUCUCCUGAUUUAACUUGAUAAUUGCUAUUUUCGUGAUGGAAUUAAUGAUCUGAGCUAUGAUAGCACACUUUCCACAUGCAUACACCUUAGCAUGUCAUUUAUAUCAGUCCAGGAGUAUGAAACUUGAUAUUCAAUCAUCAUAUACAUUUAAUAUUGUAUAUCUGUUCUCUGUGUGAUAUGAUCUUGGCUGAUAGCCCAUGACCAUGACAAGCAGAUUGUGAUAUUGAGCAUGUGACCACGCCAGGCGGAUGAUGAUUAUUGGCAUGUUGGUUUCCUGUGUAGCACGUGAGUUGUCCGUACAGCGAGUGGAUAUGGAUCCAUCCCCCUAGGGUCACCCUCUCAUGUUUCUUUCUUGAUGGUGUACAACGUAUUUGAGGAAAACUGAUCAGUGACUUGGUACGGAUAUGGUAAU